UGAAGUAUAAUUAAGAGAGGCCAUAGA
Molecule: non-coding RNA, 27 nt
Filed under: Bombyx mori (domestic silkworm)
Lineage: Eukaryota; Metazoa; Arthropoda; Insecta; Lepidoptera; Bombycidae
Source: RNAcentral